UAGGGAAUAUUGGACAAUGGGGGGAACCCUGAUCCAGCCAUGCCGCGUGGAGGAAGACUGCCCUCUGGGUUGAAAACUCCUUUUAUAUGGGAAGAACCGUCCUCAUUGAUGAGUGACCUGACGGUACCAUAGGAAUAAGCACCGGCUAACUCCGUGCCAGCAGCCGCGGUAAGAGGAAGGAUGCAAGCGUUAUCCGGAUUCAUUGGGUUUAAAGGGUGCGUAGGCGGGCUUGUAAGUCAGUGGUGAAAUCUCUCAGCUUAACUGAGAAACUGCCAUUGAUACUGCAGGCCUAGAGUAUAGAUGACGUUGGCGGAAUAUGACAUGUAGUGGUGAAAUACUUAGAUAUGUCAUAGAACACCGAUUGCGAAGGCAGCUAACGAAACUAUAACUGACGCUGAGGCACGAAAGUGCGGGGAUCAAACA
This 423-nucleotide ribosomal RNA is filed under the name uncultured bacterium. RNAcentral describes it as "bacterial SSU rRNA". It matches the Rfam family "Bacterial small subunit ribosomal RNA", at positions 355 to 774 of the family's 1533-position model. The record is from RNAcentral.